UUCUACCCUUCUCCACUUAAUAGGCUACUUUUGUCUUCAUUGGAUUCAAAAUCGUGACUGCGCCUAACAUACUUAAGGGGUUUCACUUUUACCUCUAGACCAAAGCCUUGGGGCUAGAGUUUUAUUCUCGUGGUACUUAUCUUAUUUGUGGAUCUAAUUCUUGGCCCACUCCUAUACAUGACUUGUUUAUUAUUGGAGCUAGCAGCAAGCCAGAUCUUAUUGAUCCUGCCUUUUGAGGCCAGGGAGAUUUGAUAAGCUCCUUUAUGUUGGCGUUACUUUUGAAGCCUCGUACAUAAAGAGGUAUUCUUGUAUUCUAACCCUCUCCGAAGAUAUAUCUCAACUCUCAAUAGCAAGAAGGUGUCCAAUGAACUUCACGGAAACUGACGUGUAUGCACUGUGUGCUGAUGCUUGGUUUCAUGCUGCGAAGCGCAAGGCAUUAGCUUCAGAAUUGGAUUCAACAAGCCUAGAUGAUCAGGAUGACUCAAGUCGACUAUAAACAUUAUCCUAACAAUUCAAAAAAGAAUGAAUUUAAGAGUUGGAAGACUGUCAGGAAUGUCCUUGAUAUGGCAAGAGAAAAAUGCACUGUCAGUGACCAUCAAAAGCAGAAAGCUAUAGAUACUUGCUCUUUGAUUGUUACAUUGCUCAACUAUUGGUUUUACAUUGCUCUUGAACUUGUUAAAUUCUAUCCUCUGUUUAAUUCUUGUUAGAACUCUAAAUUCAAGCCAUUUUUAAAGAAGUACCUAAGUGGAUUUGCAGUAUAUAUGUAGUGGCUUUGAUUGUAUUGCGCAUAGGGGAGGAUGUAGCGGCACUAGGACGUUUAUGUAAAACAUUUUUAGCAGAAUUUAGUACAUAAAACUGUCAUUUAACGACAAAUAUAAGUUCUUGUUUUCA
Long non-coding RNA from Capsicum annuum, 891 nucleotides. RefSeq lists it as uncharacterized. The transcript is spliced from 4 exons. Lineage: Eukaryota; Viridiplantae; Streptophyta; Magnoliopsida; Solanales; Solanaceae. The record is from RefSeq and is a predicted model, not a curated record.